GAGAGAUUUGGUCUGAAUUCUUGUAUUCUCUGAUUGUGAGGUUUGUUCAGUCACCUCUUGGGACCUGCUGUGCCCUGAUUAUGAAGUGAUACUCGCUUGUCAGCACCAAGAAAUGGAAGAGGGAAGUAUUGCCCCCUCUUCAACUUCCCAGAAAACGAAACAAUAUUCAUAACUGUACUUCCAAGAACCAUCAAGAGUAUCUGAAUUCGUUACUUACACAGCAAGAAAACAUGAGACACUGUGGCCUCCAGGCAGCCAGGAGUGAUGUAUACUCUAUAGUCUGAGACUUCCUCCACCAGAGGGCCUUAUGCUCUGCACGGCUUCUCCUUAUACACAUGACGAUGUCCUUUGCUGGCCCUGGUGUGUGAGCGUGAACCUCCAGGGGCCUUGGGGAAAAUGAAGUUGUUUCCCCUCCCUCCUCCCACGUCAAAUAUUACAGACAGGCUCACUCAGCUCCACUCCAGCUCCCUUGUAAAAUGCCUUACCAAACGCUUCAGAGAAAAAAAGAAAGACUGCCUAUUUCCUAGACUCUUUGAUGGCUGGAGUUCGGAGUCUAUCAAGGAAACACACCUGGGGAUUUGGAAGGCAAGAAUAAGGUGGAGGCCAUGCUUAUGCUGUUUUCUGUCAUUUCUGCUGGCAUGUGUGCACGUAGAGAUGGUUUGCGUUCUUCUGUGACAGCAGUGGCAGGAGUCCCAG
RNAcentral lists this long non-coding RNA (696 nucleotides) under Equus caballus (horse). RNAcentral's name for it is "lncRNA (ENSECAG00000044626.1)". The record is from RNAcentral. Lineage: Eukaryota; Metazoa; Chordata; Mammalia; Perissodactyla; Equidae.